Molecule: small nuclear RNA, 104 nt
Organism: Neomonachus schauinslandi (Hawaiian monk seal)
Lineage: Eukaryota; Metazoa; Chordata; Mammalia; Carnivora; Phocidae
Source: RefSeq, a predicted model, not a curated record
ACUCGCUUCACCAGCACAUAUAAAAAAUGAGAACAACACGGAGAAGAUUAGCAUGGGUCCUGACCAAGGAUGGCGUGCACAUGUGUAAGGCAUUUCAUCUUGUU